GCUACAAAUUGUUCUAUCGCGGUCUCAAGUCAUUGAGAAUGAGGAAAGUCUGGACAACGUAGAGCACCACACCAUCUAACGGAUGGGGUUCGAAUCAAGCAGUUGAUUAGGAUACAGAAAGUGUCGCAGAAAAUAACCGCCUAUUAAAUGUAGGUAAGGGUGAAAAUGUGUGGUAAGAGCACACAACGUUCUCAAGUAACUGAGAGGGUGGAUAAACCUUGUGGGUUGAAAUGUCAUGUACAUCAGCGUUUGAGGGUUGCUCGCCCGAUGCUGAGGGGUAGGCAGAUAGACGCUAAUCGUGAGGUUAGUGCUAGAUAAUGAUAGAAGUUUCGCAAAUGCGAAAAACAGAAUCCGGCUUACAGGUUUGUAGCGUUG
This 375-nucleotide RNase P RNA is filed under the name Saprospiraceae bacterium. RNAcentral's name for it is "RNase P RNA component class A". It matches the Rfam family "Bacterial RNase P class A". Rfam says of the family: Ribonuclease P (RNase P) is a ubiquitous endoribonuclease, found in archaea, bacteria and eukarya as well as chloroplasts and mitochondria. Lineage: Bacteria; Pseudomonadati; Bacteroidota; Saprospiria; Saprospirales; Saprospiraceae. The record is from RNAcentral.